RNAcentral lists this ribosomal RNA (253 nucleotides) under uncultured bacterium. RNAcentral describes it as "partial 16S ribosomal RNA". It matches the Rfam family "Bacterial small subunit ribosomal RNA", at positions 524 to 776 of the family's 1533-position model. The record is from RNAcentral.
UACGUAGGGUGCAGGCGUUAAUCGGAAUUACUGGGCGUAAAGCGUGCGCAGGCGGUUUCUUAAGUCAGUUGUGAAAUCCCCGGGCUCAACCUGGGAACUGCAUCUGUGACUGCAUUGCUGGAGUGCGGCAGAGGGGGAUGGAAUUCCGCGUGUAGCAGUGAAAUGCGUAGAUAUGCGGAGGAACACCGAUGGCGAAGGCAAUCCCCUGGGCCUGCACUGACGCUCAUGCACGAAAGCGUGGGGAGCAAACAGG